GACGAACGCUGGCGGCGUGCUUAACACAUGCAAGUCGAACGGAAAGGCCCUGCUUUUGUGGGGUGCUCGAGUGGCGAACGGGUGAGUAACACGUGAGUAACCUGCCCUUGACUUUGGGAUAACUUCAGGAAACUGGGGCUAAUACCGGAUAGGAGCUCCUGCUGCAUGGUGGGGGUUGGAAAGUUUCGGCGGUUGGGGAUGGACUCGCGGCUUAUCAGCUUGUUGGUGGGGUAGUGGCUUACCAAGGCUUUGACGGGUAGCCGGCCUGAGAGGGUUACCGGCCACAUUGGGACUGAGAUACGGCCCAGACUCCUACGGGAGGCAGCAGUGGGGAAUAUUGCACAAUGGGCGGAAGCCUGAUACAGCAACGCCGCGUGCGGGAUGACGGCCUUCGGGUUGUAAACCGCUUUCGCCUGUGACGAAGCGUGAGUGACGGUAAUGGGUAAAGAAGCACCGGCUAACUACGUG
This 468-nucleotide ribosomal RNA is filed under the name uncultured bacterium. RNAcentral describes it as "partial 16S ribosomal RNA". It matches the Rfam family "Bacterial small subunit ribosomal RNA", at positions 28 to 507 of the family's 1533-position model. The record is from RNAcentral.